This 433-nucleotide ribosomal RNA is filed under the name uncultured bacterium. Its description in RNAcentral is "partial 16S ribosomal RNA". It matches the Rfam family "Bacterial small subunit ribosomal RNA", at positions 29 to 507 of the family's 1533-position model. The record is from RNAcentral.
AACGAACGCUGGCGGCAGGCUUAACACAUGCAAGUCGAACGGAUCCUUCGGGAUUAGUGGCAGACGGGUGAGUAACGCGUGGGAACGUACCCUUUGCUACGGAAUAACUCAGGGAAACUUGAGCUAAUACCGUAUGUGCCCUACGGGGGAAAGAUUUAUCGGCAAAGGAUCGGCCCGCGUUGGAUUAGCUAGUUGGUGGGGUAAUAGCCUACCAAGGCGACGAUCCAUAGCUGGUCUGAGAGGAUGAUCAGCCACACUGGGACUGAGACACGGCCCAGACUCCUACGGGAGGCAGCAGUGGGGAAUAUUGGACAAUGGGCGCAAGCCUGAUCCAGCCAUGCCGCGUGAGUGAUGAAGGUCUUAGGAUUGUAAAGCUCUUUCACCGGUGAAGAUAAUGACGGUAGCCGGAGAAGAAGCCCCGGCUAACUUCGUG